Molecule: ribosomal RNA, 449 nt
Filed under: uncultured bacterium
Lineage: Bacteria
Description: partial 16S ribosomal RNA
Rfam family: Bacterial small subunit ribosomal RNA
Source: RNAcentral
AACGAACGCUGGCGGCAUGCCUAACACAUGCAAGUCGAACGAGAUCUUCGGGUCUAGUGGCGCACGGGUGCGUAACGCGUGGGAAUCUGCCCUUUGGUUCGGAAUAACAGUUGGAAACGACUGCUAAUACCGGAUGAUGACGAAAGUCCAAAGAUUUAUCGCCAGAGGAUGAGCCCGCGUAGGAUUAGCUAGUUGGUGUGGUAAAGGCGCACCAAGGCGACGAUCCUUAGCUGGUCUGAGAGGAUGAUCAGCCACACUGGGACUGAGACACGGCCCAGACUCCUACGGGAGGCAGCAGUGGGGAAUAUUGGACAAUGGGCGAAGGCCUGAUCCAGCAAGGCCGCGUGAGUGAUGAAGGCCUUAGGGUUGAAAAGCUCUUUUACCCGGGAUGAUAAUGACAGUACCGGGAGAAUAAGCUCCGGCUAACCCCGUGCCAGCCGCCGCCGUAA